CCUACGGGUGGCUGCAGUGAGGAAUAUUGGUCAAUGGCCGAGAGUCUGAACCAGCCAAGUCGCGUGAAGGAAGACGGCCCUAUGGGUUGUAAACCUCUUUUGUCGGGGAGUAAAGCGAGUCACGUGUGACUCUUUGAGAGUACCCGAAGAAAAAGCAUCGGCUAACUCCGUGCCAGCAGCCGCGGUAAUACGGAGGAUGCGAGCGUUAUCCGGAUUUAUUGGGUUUAAAGGGUGCGUAGACGGGAGGUUAAGUUAGUUGUGAAAUCCCUCGGCUCAACUGAGGAACUGCAACUGAUACUGGACAUCUUGAGUGCAGGAGAGGAAGGUGGAAUUCCUAGUGUAGCGGUGAAAUGCGUAGAUAUCAGGAGGAACACCAGUGGCGAAGGCGACUUUCUAGACUGUAACUGACGUUGAGGCACGAAAGUGUGGGGAGCAAACAGGAUUAGAUACCCUAGUAGUC
This 460-nucleotide ribosomal RNA is filed under the name uncultured bacterium. RNAcentral's name for it is "partial 16S ribosomal RNA". It matches the Rfam family "Bacterial small subunit ribosomal RNA", at positions 338 to 795 of the family's 1533-position model. The record is from RNAcentral.